UCCAUCAGCAUCUCUCAUUUGAUGGAGUGAGGAAUUCUCUCUCAGAUCUGAAGAAGAGACUCGAGGAAUUCUGGGAGGAGGAAUUCAACAAAAUCCCUCCACAUGCUGCAGCAGUUCAGAUCAUUUCAGAACCAGAACCACAGAGCAGAGAAGAGUUUCUGAAAUAUUUCUGUUAUCUGACUCUGGAUCUCAACACGGUACAUCGUCUCCUCAUUCUGUCUGAGAAGAACAGAGCGGUGAGAUGCAGUGAGAG
This is a long non-coding RNA of Neoarius graeffei (lesser salmon catfish), 253 nucleotides long. RefSeq lists it as uncharacterized. The record is from RefSeq and is a predicted model, not a curated record. Lineage: Eukaryota; Metazoa; Chordata; Actinopteri; Siluriformes; Ariidae. The transcript has 3 exons.